AGCCUUCUGUAUCCGUGCCGAGAUUUCGUCAGCAAUCAACCUGUUGGGACUGAUGCAACUUCUUAAAUAAGGGAAGUG
This 78-nucleotide microRNA precursor is filed under the name Trichobilharzia regenti. RNAcentral describes it as "mir-3492 microRNA precursor family". It matches the Rfam family "mir-3492 microRNA precursor family". Lineage: Eukaryota; Metazoa; Platyhelminthes; Trematoda; Strigeidida; Schistosomatidae. The record is from Rfam by way of RNAcentral.